This 18-nucleotide ribosomal RNA is filed under the name Zoanthus gigantus. RNAcentral describes it as "partial 28S ribosomal RNA". The record is from RNAcentral. Lineage: Eukaryota; Metazoa; Cnidaria; Anthozoa; Zoantharia; Zoanthidae.
GACCUCAGAUCAGGCAAG